Small nuclear RNA from Oryctolagus cuniculus (rabbit), 104 nucleotides. Lineage: Eukaryota; Metazoa; Chordata; Mammalia; Lagomorpha; Leporidae. The record is from Ensembl.
GAUCCAUUUGGAAGAACAUAUAUUAAAAUUGGAUGGACAGAGAGAAAAUCAGCACAGCCCCAGCCCAAGGAUGACCCACAAAUUUUGAAAUGUUCCAUUUUUUU